Molecule: transfer RNA, 73 nt
Filed under: Stegodyphus mimosarum
Lineage: Eukaryota; Metazoa; Arthropoda; Arachnida; Araneae; Eresidae
Rfam family: tRNA
About the family: Transfer RNA (tRNA) molecules are approximately 80 nucleotides in length. Their secondary structure includes four short double-helical elements and three loops (D, anti-codon, and T loops). Further hydrogen bonds mediate the characteristic L-shaped molecular structure. tRNAs have two regions of fundamental functional importance: the anti-codon, which is responsible for specific mRNA codon recognition, and the 3' end, to which the tRNAs corresponding amino acid is attached (by aminoacyl-tRNA synthetases). tRNAs cope with the degeneracy of the genetic code in two manners: having more than one tRNA (with a specific anti-codon) for a particular amino acid; and 'wobble' base-pairing, i.e. permitting non-standard base-pairing at the 3rd anti-codon position.
Source: Rfam by way of RNAcentral
GCUUUCGUGGUCUAGUGGUCAGCACACGCGACUCGUAUUCGAGAGGUCCGUGUUUCGAAUCCUGGCGAGGGCA